Molecule: ribosomal RNA, 573 nt
Filed under: uncultured bacterium
Lineage: Bacteria
Description: bacterial SSU rRNA
Rfam family: Bacterial small subunit ribosomal RNA
Source: RNAcentral
GGCGACGAUGCCUAGGGGUUCUGAGAGGAAGGUCCCCCACACUGGUACUGAGACACGGACCAGACUCCUACGGGAGGCAGCAGUGAGGAAUAUUGGUCAAUGGGAGAGAUCCUGAACCAGCCAAGCCGCGUGAGGGAAGACGGCCCUAUGGGUUGUAAACCUCUUUUGUCGGAGAACAAAACCCGGGACGAGUCCCGGACUGCGUGUAUCCGAAGAAAAAGCAUCGGCUAACUCCGUGCCAGCAGCCGCGGUAAUACGGAGGAUGCGAGCGUUAUCCGGAUUUAUUGGGUUUAAAGGGUGCGUAGGCGGUCUGUUAAGUCAGCGGUAAAAUUGCGGGGCUCAACCCCGUCGAGCCGUUGAAACUGGCAGACUUGAGUUGGCGAGAAGUACGCGGAAUGCGCGGUGUAGCGGUGAAAUGCAUAGAUAUCGCGCAGAACUCCGAUUGCGAAGGCAGCGUACCGGCGCCACACUGACGCUGAGGCACGAAAGCGUGGGGAUCGAACAGGAUUAGAUACCCUGGUAGUCCACGCAGUAAACGAUGAAUGCUGGUUGUCCGGGUCGAAUGAGAUCUGG